CUGCAAAAUAUGUCUUUUUAAAUAUUCUUUGCAAAAAUGUUAUUUGGGUGAUAAGGUAAGUGUAAUAAAUAAAUUUUUUGUCAACUGUUUAGUUUUUUGUGACUCUGACUUAUUUUUGUACAUUAAUUUAUAAUUUUAACUAAAAGUAUUUAAACUUUAGUGCCUAAAAAUGGGAAUAACUGAAGAUAUAUCAAGCAAAAAAAAAAUUCUGAAAUGUCUGCUUUACUAAAACAUGCAAAUCACUCUCAAAGAAAAAUUGCAUAUUUUAAAGAUAAAAGUCUUGACAGUAAGCAGAAUUAAAGGUGAACCUCAUAAAAAAAUACCUGUAUAAAGUGCCAGAAGUGGAAAAUGUGGAAGGCAAAACAUCACUACCUUGAGAGAUGAUAAUUUGUUACAACUGUGUUUGAAAUCGAAGAAAAAGUACAAAUGCAGUUAAAUCAUAUGAGAAACUCAUAUCAAGAUUUCUAACAAAAUUACAAAGCAUCAAAUAGCAAAGUUGAUGGUGUGAUCAGUUAUAAGUGGUAAAGGCAAUAGUCUUCUUAAUUUAAUUUAAGGGAUAUUGAACCAAGAUAUAUAUAAAAAACUAUUAGCUACUAAAUUAUUUCCUCAGUUACAUGAUUAGUUUCCUGAUCCACUCAAAGGAAUCUCUAUGCAUGAUUCUGCCCAAAUCUUUAAAGCUAUAUCAGUGGCAAGGUAUUUAGAGUCAAUGUUUAUGCUUUACCAUGGCCUGGCAAUACUCUCGACUUGAAUAGAAAACCUUGGAACUUUCAAAGCAGAUAGUUGCAUGAAAUUAUAACCAACAAAAAAAUCAGGAGAUAAAAGCAAAUGUAAAAAAUUGUAUUUAAAGUAUGCCAAGAAGGAUACGAGCAGUAAUUGAUGCAAAAGGCUGCACAACCAAAUACUAAUAAACAUUUUGCAUUAUGAGUUUUCUUAAAUAAAUGCGUAUAUAAGCUAGUAACACCAAUAUUUAUAUAAAAAUUUAACAUAUGAAUAUAUAAAAGAGCUUAUAAUGGUUAA
This is a non-coding RNA of Hydra vulgaris (swiftwater hydra), 1017 nucleotides long. The record is from RefSeq and is a predicted model, not a curated record. NCBI's taxonomy places the organism in Eukaryota, Metazoa, Cnidaria, Hydrozoa, Anthoathecata, Hydridae.